CGCUCCCUCACCGAGUCGGGGAGAAUACACCCAGAGAGCAGAGGGCGGUGCAGGACUCCAAGAGGCUCCAUGGAAUUGAUGCAGCUGCAGUGCCCUUGGACUGAUGUUGCUUCAAGCUGAGAACUGUCCCCAAUGUGUCUGGUGGAUUCCAAAGACAGCCUUUGCAUGUUCACAGGGUGGAAAGGACCACCUCCCACGCGUGCAUUUGACCGCGGUCAAGGCCAGCUGGGUCUCUGAGGAUGGGCUGGAUUCCAAGGACCAGGAGGAAGAUAACAUUUUCAAAACCAUAAAGAAUAAAAUGAAUAAGGAAAGAAGGAAGGAAAAGAAGACUUUCCCUUCAAAUUAACCUUUGGAACCAUAAGUUUGGAUCUCUAAGGAAAUAAUGAAGGAAGUAUC
Propithecus coquereli (Coquerel's sifaka) is the source of this 396-nucleotide long non-coding RNA. RefSeq lists it as uncharacterized. NCBI's taxonomy places the organism in Eukaryota, Metazoa, Chordata, Mammalia, Primates, Indriidae. The transcript has 3 exons. The record is from RefSeq and is a predicted model, not a curated record.